GGCCAGUAUAAGUAUCUUCAUGAAGCUGUUGUUCAUUCUCUGACAAGUGACUGCCAUCCCGUGGCCGGUGCGAAAUUUCAAGCGUAUAUGGAUACAACGUCAAAGGAUAAAAUCAUGAACAUGUUUCAACAUUUGCAAGCUAUUAAAAGAUACGGAUCGUUGGGUGAAUCUGAAGCAGUUGAAAGGAACGCCAAACGUGCUGACAAAAACAGAGAAGGUUCUGAUAUCGCAGGAGAUGAACAUCGCAUUAGACUUCACCCUUACCUGAAAUUCGGAUCCACAUACUAUAUAAAUGCAGUUUUCGCUAAUAGUUUCCAAACACAGAAUAAGUACGUCCUUGCACAAACUCCUCUUCCAAAUACGGUUGUUGAUUUCAUCGCAAUGCUUGUCCAGACAGAGUGUUCGUGCAUUUUCGCUUUUGUACCAUCAACGAUUCGAAGUUCGAACAUCGGUGAGUAUUAACCCGCGGAUAACCAGGUUUUAAAGAUUGGAAUCUUCAGCGUCCGUUGUUCGAAGCCAGAAGCAAACGCUAACCAUAUUAAGCGGACAAUGACAAUCGAGCAUCGAGCAAACGUAUUGUCUUUAACGCAUCUGGAGUUAAAAGACUGGGCCAUGGAAGAACCUAUACCAAAUUCUCCGUCUGAAUUCCGACGAUUCAUUGACGAAGUUGACGCAAUAUCAACAAGUACCAACUCUGAUAAACGAAUUAUUGUACAUUGUUGGGACGGUGAAAGUCAAUGCGGCUUAUUCUGUGUGGUUGCGAGUCUCCUGCAGAAGAUGAAGAUGGAGGAAGAAGUCAGCGUAGUAAACGCAGUGAGGAUGGUACAGACCAGAAGAAAGGGAGCGAUUCCAAACUUGGAGCAGUUUCAGUUCUGCCACGACUGUGUGCUGGACUAUGUGCAAAGUGUCAACAUCUACGCCAAUGUUGCCGCUGAUCUCUCCGAUUGAUGAAUGACACUCAGCCAUGACCGUUUCCCGGACUUCAUUCAUAGCUUAGAUAAGUACUUCUUCGUCCAUGCUGAUAAUUCUUAUUGCUGACUACACAGUCUGAAAAGAUUUUGUCCUGUUACUCAAACAUGAACACAAAGCGAUAUAUUCUCCGACAUUUCAAGUGAUACGUCUGAUAAUGGACUACGUAUGUCUGCUAGUACAGCGUACUGGGAAGUAAUCAUAUAUAUGGCAGCAACCCCAACUUCGCUGCUUAUCCGACAGAUUGUUGACUACAUACUGUCCACCUUUACUGUACUCUGGUCUACAUCCAGAGCUUCGAUAUCUUUUUCAACUUCAUAGCGCAUUCAUCCGAUGACUUUAUUCCUUAAGUGGAUACCAUUGCUCUUUGCUGAUGUUUACUUUUCUUGAUCUGAAAGAAUAAUUCGUUUCGUAGAUAAUCGGAGUAGAAGAUUAAAGUAAAUCCUUGCACAUUUCUGUGAUAUUGUGCUUAACGUGUAGGUCAUUGUUUUGUGUUAUGGUAAUGUACAUUAAAAAUAAUACAUAUAAGCAUCCAAGUUAAAAUGUUUACAGUUAUCCUUGCUUUGUUUGGAGGUAUUUUAUUCCGCACAUUAGUGUAAACAAAAGCCUAUAUGUUUGUCCUAGCUGAAUCAGGAAGUAGUAUUGAUAAUUGCAUUUGUUCUUUUCAUCAGUGAAGUUAUAAUUUUCUGUUAAUUGUCAACUAAACUGGAUGCCAAUACAAAUGAGUAUCAUUCUAUAGAUAUUUGCAGUUGAUCAAGUAAUUUCAAAAGAAGGAUUUAAAUAGGUCGUUCAGAUAUGAGUAGUUGAUCCAAGUUGAUGCCUCUUUUAAAUGUUGUCUCCGUAUCAAUAGUCAUAUCACUUUUUUCCAGAGUUGAUGCAAUUAGCUUUUCAUUAAAAAUCGCAUAAUUGGCAACAUCGCUAUCGUGAAAUUGAUUUCUAUCAUGUUACUGGUGUAAUGCUAAUGCUUUUCCUUAUGUUAGUUAAUGUGUAUGACUUAAUUGUCGUAUAUAUUGGGAUGUCUAUCCUGAGUAAUCAUUCAAAGCAAUUAAACAACCUGUAACUUCAAUGUAAAACGGACACAAGUGUCGUUCUGACGUCGAUACCCAUUUGUUUGUUGUUGCAAAAUAUUUUCAUGCGUGUUACAAAAAAAUAUACUAUGUAAACAUACUGUGGACAAUGAGAUCUAGACAACAUGAUGAUAAAGCUCUUUGUUAAUUAGUUAAGUGGAUAAAUACUCAUAGCUGUUAAACGAGAACAAAUGCAUACCAUCAAAAUAUGACGUGACUAAGAAACAGUACAAUUUAAUGACGAAGAUGUGUCUUGGAAAAAGAACGCCUUAAAAGGCUUAUUGUAGUGUUACAGUUUAAUUUUGUAUUGACCUUGACAAACAAAUGCUUCUAUGUUAAAAUGUGUAAAAUAUUUGAUAUGCAAUAUGCAUCGUACAAAAUAUAAAUGUAUCCCUUUGGUGCACGGAGACAAUCAAAACUGUUGAAAAAAGUUCGAUGGGUGAAUGUGUCCUUAGAAUGCAAGGUAGUGUAGUGGUAAAUACCGGAUUAUUAUGCAAAAGUAAUACGCCUCGCGUAGAAUAUAUGAACAUAUGUGCACAUACAUUAUUAGGAAAAGUGUACUAGCGUUAUAUUUGUGUUUUGUCCUUUUUAUCACUUUUAAGUAGUAUACCGUGUAGAAAAUAUAAAUAAUUAUCGUGAUUUGUAGUACCAAAACUGAAUUGAGUGCGUAUUUUAGUAAUAACAAAUGAUUGUCUGAACUAAGUAUUGGAACUUAUGAAUUUCUAAACACUAAGAAACGUUUUCAUGUAUCUAACUGUAAUUAAAAACAUUCAAGUGUACGGUUAUUUUAAAUGGAUGCUGGUUUUAAUAGAUCUGUGUUUUAUACUUACAUAUUAUUCGAAUAAACAAAUUGAACAUUGUUAUGCAAAUAACAUUUUUAUAAUUUAUAAAGACAAUAUAACGAGAUGGAUCUAUCGAUAUUUCCGGAUCAGUAUCUCCAAAAGUACCGCAUCAUUUUAAAUGUAGUGAGAAUUGCUUCAGGUAAUCAAUAUCUUUUGUCUAAAUGGGUUGUCAUAAGUUCUUCAUUUUAACAUGGCAUGAAACGUUACUUAUUAUUUAUUGUAUCACUCGUUAAUGAAUGUUUCUUUAACAAUACUGCUGUUAAACGCCACCACAUGUGAAAAAAAUACUGUUAUACAGCGGCAAGAGGGCUUUGACGUCCUUAAUUACUCUUGUCAAUGAUUCUUGUCUUGGUCUUAAUAAUAGUACCUUUUUUUGGAUGCAUUAUUUAUUUCAGAUUUCAGGAAAGUUAUUCAAUGUCAUGCUUGAUACUGCGCCUUCAGAUAAAAAUGUUUGCAUGUAACAAGAUUUAGUGCAAUUUGCAAACCCUACUUUCUAUUCAUUUAGGUCCGGCACCCAUCAACAGAUUUAUCAUGUGCAAAUGAUGAAUUUCUUUUGAAGGAAAUCCUAAACAAACAUUUUUAUGAACUAUUUAAAACCUCCUAACGUUAGUUAGAUCAAUCAGAAUGUACGCGAAAACAGAUCUAUUAUUAUGAAGAUGAUAGUAGUUAUUUUAUCAUUCUAAUGUAAGUUUUGCGUUUCUGUCGAUUUUUAUCUACUAUAAAUACCGUAUGAUAUAAUAUGAAUGUAUGUGGGCGUGCAAGGGCGCGUGUGAGCAUGUUAUUAUCUUUCUUUUUUAAUAUUUGUAAUUGCAUUUGAUUUAUUUUUAAAAUGUAUUAUAGACGUGAUUGAAUAUUGAGACCACAUUUCCGAAAUAUACUCACGUCAUAAUUUGUUUGUAUCAUAAUAUGUAAUAUUAACUACUGGAUUAUUUUACAUUAUAAUGUAGUUGUGAUACAGCGUGUAUGUACUUAUGAGUUCACACGAGUGUUCCUAAUGUCUAUAUUUUGUGCUAUUUUUGUCUUUAUGUGGUAUCUUCUUACAAUGAAAGUAUUACUAUGAAAGCAAUGUCAGUAGUUCUAUUUGUUGGUACAUGUGUUGGCAUGUGUUUUGACCUUAGUAUAAUUGUUCGACAUUUUGUUACUUUCCUUAAUAAAGCUUUUGUUUGUUGAAUGAUUAAAGCGCGAUUUUGGGUACACUUACGAGAAGGUCUUCUGAUUGAAUGUUAUUCAGUAACGAUAAAGGCGAUAAACACAGGUAUAGUCUGAGUGCUGAAUUGCGCUACAUUUGAUCGUAUAUUUCAAAUAAUAAAUACAGUAGAUCGCUCAUUUAAUUAUAUUUUUGUAUUGCAAUUCACGCGAGGAAUAACCCACUAAAUUUUAGUCUUAUUUUCCUACUUUUAAGAUGAAUAAUGCAAAAGUAACGAUACUUUACUUUUACGAUCUGGACUCAUAGUUGUAAAUCCUGGCCUUAAACGUGUACAUGACCCUUAUGUGAUAAUUAUCACGUACAUUUUAUUCAACAACCCCGUUUAUUAUUAUUAUUUUUAUUUCAAAUAAAGUACUCACAUCGAAUUAUGUUGAACUAAGAUAUUGUCUAUCAUCAUCGAUCCGUGGUUGCAUUAUUCGUGCAUAUUGUAACUACCCGUAUUCAAGUUUGAGUACAUUUACACAUUUUCAAUUGAGGAUAUUGUAU
This is a long non-coding RNA of Dreissena polymorpha, 4571 nucleotides long. RefSeq lists it as uncharacterized. NCBI's taxonomy places the organism in Eukaryota, Metazoa, Mollusca, Bivalvia, Myida, Dreissenidae. The record is from RefSeq and is a predicted model, not a curated record. The transcript has 8 exons.